RNAcentral lists this ribosomal RNA (270 nucleotides) under uncultured archaeon. RNAcentral describes it as "partial 16S ribosomal RNA". It matches the Rfam family "Archaeal small subunit ribosomal RNA", at positions 477 to 747 of the family's 1478-position model. The record is from RNAcentral.
CAGCACCUCAAGUGGUCAGGAUGAUUAUUGGGCCUAAAGCAUCCGUAGCCGGCGCUGUAAGUUUUCGGUUAAAUCUGUACGCUCAACGUACAGGCUGCCGGGAAUACUGCAGCGCUAGGGAGUGGGAGAGGUAGACGGUACUCGGUAGGAAGGGGUAAAAUCCUUUGAUCUAUUGAUGACCACCUGUGGCGAAGGCGGUCUACCAGAACACGUCCGACGGUGAGGGAUGAAAGCUGGGGGAGCAAACCGGAUUAGAUACCCGAGCAGUCC